This 2311-nucleotide ribosomal RNA is filed under the name Paracerceis sp. RW02.116. RNAcentral's name for it is "bacterial SSU rRNA". It matches the Rfam family "Eukaryotic small subunit ribosomal RNA". The record is from RNAcentral. Lineage: Eukaryota; Metazoa; Arthropoda; Malacostraca; Isopoda; Sphaeromatidae.
UUUACCUGGUNGAUCCUGCCAGUAGUCAUAUGCUCGUUUCAAAGAUUAAGCCAUGCAUGUCUGAGUACAGCCUUUCCUUAGUGUGAAACCGCAAACUGCUCCAUAAACAAGUCUUAACACUACUUGGUGACGAGUUAUUCAUAUUCGGAUAACUGUGGCAAUUCCAGAGCUAAUACGUGCAAUUAAGUUCUGACGCUACGCUUCUUCGAAGCUAUGGCGAAAGGGCGCAAUUAUUAGGUCCGCAAACCGAGGACCCGCUCUUAGCGUACGAGCCUCUCGUAGGCUCAGCUUUGAACGGUAAUCUAUUGGGAUGUGGUGACUCCGGAUAACAUUGCCAAGCGAAUUGGCUUACGCCGUCGCAAUACCAAUUGUGAGACUUACUUAUCAGGCUAUGGAUUGUAGGGUAAGGGCCUACGAUGGCUGUCACGGGUGACGGGGAAUCAGGGUUCGAUUCCGGAGAGKKWGCCUGAGAGAUGGCUGACACAUCUAAGGAAGGCAGCAGGCGCGCAAAUUACCCACUCCCGGCUUGGGGAGGUAGUAACGAGAAAUAACGAUGCAAGACUCUUCCGAGGCCUUGCAAUCGGAAUGAGUUUAGCAUAAAUCCUUAAACAAGGAUCUAAUAGAGGGCAAGUCUGGUGCCAGCAGCCGCGGUAACUCCAGCUCUAUUGGCGUAUAUUAGAAUUGUUGCGGUUAAAAAGCUCGUAGUUGGACCUCCGGUCUAUUCCGAGGUUUACGCACCUAGGAGAGUAAGUAAACCGUGAAGGCUAUCACGCGGUGAGUGGGCAGUUCUCCCGAUGAAGUUCCUUGUGCCUCAGUAGUUGUUCUGGUGUAGUUGGGGAUAACUCGCGUGGCGACUCGGUUUCGGCCGGCCGUCCGCGUUGUUACUCCUCCGUUACAUUCGGCUUGAGGUUACACGUGACACGGAAUCGAGUUAACCAUCCCACGAAUCGUAGGCUGACGCGGCGAAAGCUACCUAGAACUGCGUAUUCCAGAGGCUAUGGGUAAUGUUUUGUGUCGGUUCUCGCGUGAUGCUCUUUACCGGGUGUCACGCGCGGCUGAUCACGUUCACUUUGAGAAAAUUAGAGUGCUCAAAGCAGGCUAUAACUGCCUGAAUGUAAGUGCAUAGUAUGAUGGAACACGACCUCGGUUCUUUGAUUUUUCGUUCUCGGUUUCAAGGUACCGAGGUAAUGAUUAAAGGGGACGGACGGGGGCAUUAGUACUGCGGGGCGAGAGGUGAAAUUCUUGGACCCUCGCAAGACUACCUAUAGCGAAAGCAUUUGCCAAGAACGUCUCUAUUAAUCAAGAACGAAAGUUAGAGGAUCGAAGGCGAUCAGAUACCGCCCUAGUUCUAACCAUAAACUAUGCUGUCCAGUUAUCCGCUUGGUCAAUAGCCAUGACCUCGCGGGAGGCCCCCGGGAAACCCAAAGAUUUUGAGUUCCGGGGGUAGUAUGGUCGCAAGACUGAAACUUAAAGGAAUUGACGGAAGGGCACCACCAGGAGUGGAGCCUGCGGCUUAAUUUGACUCAACACGGGGAAACUCAUCAGGCCCGGACACUAUAAGGAUUGACAGAUUGAAGCUCUUUCUUGAUUCGGUGGAAGGUGGUGCAUGGCCGUUCUUAGUUGGUGGAGUGAUUUGUCUGGUUAAUUCCGAUAACGAACGAGACUCUAGCCUGCUAACUAGUCGGUGGAUCGUUACCCUAGUCGGUUCGCUUCUUUUGCGCCGUAGCUGGUUAGGUGGCGUUCCGUGAAGGUGUUCGACGCGUUCGAAGCUCGUUUUAGCCCUCGGGCGAGCGUGCGGAGGCGCGUAACGGCCUUUUUCGGGCGUCUCCCCACGCUGCGGUUGCGGGUGGUGCUCGGCUAGGGGCGUUCAUCGUAUUUCUUCUUAGAGGGAUUGUCGGUUCGUAGCCGUAAGAGAAUGAGCAAUAACAGGUCUGUGAUGCCCUUAGAUGUCCUGAGCUGCACGCGCGCUACAAUGAUUGUAGCAACGUGCUUUCCUUCUCCGAAAGGAGUGAGUAACCCCGUGAAUUGCAAUCCCGCUUGGGAUUGGGGAUUGCAAUAUUUCCUCAUGAACGAGGAAUGCCUAGUAAGCGCAGGUCAAAAGCUUGCGUUGACUAAGUCCCUGCCCUUUGUACACACCGCCCGUCGCUACUACCGAUUGGAUGAAGUAUCAAAGACGUUGGACCGUGGCCCCUUAGUUGCGUACAAUGCGUGCGUAUACGGCGGGAUUGCUGAAAGGCGUCUGAGGUAGCUUAUCUAGAGGAAGUAAAAGUCGUAACAAGGUCUUCGUAGGUGAACCUCGGGAAAAGGAUCA